Felis catus (domestic cat) is the source of this 4807-nucleotide long non-coding RNA. RefSeq lists it as uncharacterized. The transcript has 9 exons. Lineage: Eukaryota; Metazoa; Chordata; Mammalia; Carnivora; Felidae. The record is from RefSeq and is a predicted model, not a curated record.
AACAGGCUCCAGGCUCUAAGCCAUCAGCCCAGAGCCUGACGCGGGGCUCGAACUCCUGGACCGCGAGAUCGUGACCUGGCUGAAGUCGGACGCUUAACCGACUGCGCCACCCAGGCGCCCCCUGGCUAACAACAAUUAAACGCAGAAAUUGGGGAAACCAUAGACAAGUCUCCAGCUGAGAGCUCUGCAGGGUCGUUCGUGUCAGCCAGUGAGGACACUGUGUGCUCAACCUUCGCUCUUGACUAAGUUCCCCCUUAUCCACGGUUUAGCUUUCCAUAGUUUCGGUUACUUGCCAUCAACCACAGUCCAGGGGCAGAUGAUCCUCCUUCUGAAGAGUCUUCGGAAGGCCGUUAAUAGACUAACAAUAGGUCACCGUGUCAUUCACCUGACAUCAUCUCAUCACGCAGGCAUUUCAUCAUCACGCAGCAAGGGGAAGGGCUGACUCCUCAGUUUAUCCCCUCCUGAAGGCUGCUUGGAGCCCCAUCACCCAGUGAACCGGCCCUUUUCACUGGGCGUCAGAGAACAGGAAUGUCUGGAUGGAGACAAACCAUCAUAGACCCAUGAGCCUUCUGUGAUAUCAUUGGUCCUGCCAGAAUUGCUUUGGAGGUGUUACGAGGUGGCAUAAUCGAACUACAAAAAUAUUGUUCUUUUGUUUGUUUUACAUGAUCCUCCUUGGCUAUAUCUGAGUGGGACAUUGGCAAGAUAUCUUCCUGGAAACUGAGCAGCUCUGUCAGCUCACUUCUUGCCUGUAUACAGUUGGAAGCCCCAGGAUCUUUCCAUGGAUACCCAGAGCCUGUAUGAACGCCUCAUCAUACCUGCUAAGUAGUUGUUCCUUUAACAAGAAUUCAGCCACUGAGUAAUACUGACCCUCCCUCUUCCAGUCUGUGAUAAAUUGACCUCACUAUCUGCCAUAUAACCCACGAAGCCGAUACCACAUAUUUCCAUGGAUGGUAGAACCUUGCAUAUCCUUGACUUCUUACUCAGCUUAGUCCUCCCCUCCUAGUGGCCAUGGACAACACACUUUGACAAGAUGCAUUGUUUGGAAGGCCUUUCUAAGACCUAUAGAAAGUGCUUGGGAGAGAUUGUAUAUGACCCCAAGAGACACGUGUGCAAGAUUUAGAAGGUGGACAAGAAGAAGUGGCCAUUUUUAUGUUCAGAUGGUGCGUGAACUGUGCUUCGACAGUGAUUUCUCUACACUUGAAGGGAGUGAAUAAAUGAUGUGAGCCAGACCAGGACAGUGCAGCAUUGAUUCAUUCCUUCAAAUCAGCACUAUUCACUGAAUUCCUCUCAUGGACUAAGAACUAUGAGACGUGGCACCUUAAAAGGUGAAUGAGAUGUGGCUCCUGCCCUCAAGAGGCUCAGCGUCGAGAGAGGCAAAGACUCACUCACUACAGAGGAACAGGGUCUUACCCGAGGAGCCAGUCCUGCAGGUCAAGAUUCUACAAUGUUCUAAGAUAAUCACUAGGCCACAUCAGCUGCAGCAGUCCCUAGGAAAAUCUCAGCUUGUAUGAAAGCCUUCUGCACAAGCCCCUACUCAGCCUCAGCUUAGACUCUGCACUCCACCAGAAGCCUACUCCACUGGGCUGCACCUGCUCACACAGACAGGUCUGCCCAUAGGGCCACAGCUCUCUCACAGGUGGCCAUCUUCUAAUUCUAUAGUAAGCCCGUUCUCCAAGGGGACUGCUGAGAAACACUGUGGUUUAGAGACAGGUUAUUUGCCCUCUGAAGGCUUCUCUGCUCUGAUCAGGUAAGCAGCACUGUCAGCACAGACUGGCCAUGGUUCCUACUUUUUUAUUACUUGUCCACAGCUCAGUCAUCCCCGCAGAUUUUGUUCAAACUGAAAAGAGUGUAAUGACUCGACAAAAAACACCUCCUGGUGGUUCCAACAAGGAGAGACCCAACUCUCUUUACAGUGGGAUAACUGUACCAAUAGAGGAUACUCUUAGCAACUUCUCCAAGAAAUGUCAUCAAUACGGGUAAGGGUUAGGUUCAGUUUGGUCGCGUACUUCAACCCAUUCCAACGUUCCCGCACACUCCCUGGCCGACUGCUCACUCAAUACCAACUCAAGAACCCCUUCAGCUGCUCUUCUCACACUUACAGGCAGAGUUUUGAAAGUUAGAGACAUAUUUCCCAGAGUCCCUUGCAGGAGGGUUUUAUAUGUGGCCCAGUUUCCAUCAAGCAGGCACGCUUUGAGUCUCAGAGGUAGCGGUCAGCAACCAGAAAAAAAGGGGCCAAAUUUGGGGAGAUUGGGUACUUGGGCAAGAAAGGAGCAGACGUAACUGGUUUUGAGGGCACAGGUAUGGUGUUUCCAGUGUUCAGUUCUUAGCACGUGUGCUGAACUGUGGGUAAUUUUAGCAGCAGGGCUUCUGCGACAUCAGUCACGUUUGGCAUGAUUAGACAUUUCUCUUAGUUCUGUUGCCUUCUGCUGUAAUAUUAUUGGAUCCAACUCAAAUCUUCUGGCCCUUCUGGAAAUUCUAGUGAGCUAUAUAAUACCCUUGAAUAACCCCCUUCCUGCUUAACUAGCUACAGUAGAGAUCUUGCUGCGGCUAAAAACCCUCACAGAUACAGGGUUUCUUGAAUUAGUAAUUGUAAUUAAUACUCUCAACCUCUCUUCCUAAGAAAUUAAAAUCUCAAGUGCCCAACACAAUUGCUCGCCAAUUUAUCCCUGGCCGAUUCUGACAGCAAUUCAGAAGAUUCCAGUUAUAAUCUUUCACUCAGUGACCUCCCCAGAGCAGUCCUGUCCCCAUCCCCAAGAAAGCUAUAUUCUAGUCAUGCACCUUUCAAUUCUUACGUCUACAUAAGAAUAUCGAUAUUCUCUCUCCUUCUGGGUAUAAAAUACAGAAGUGGAGGACUAAAACCUCUCCUCGGAUCAAGUGGGGUUCCAACACAAGAGAAUCUUUUGAUAAGAGUUUCUAACUUCAUAUCUAGUAUCACUGAAAUUGUCCCAAGGCCAGAGUGUGGAGUUUGUAUGAUACCGACAUAGCAAAAGGAAGAACCACUUCUAUCCAAUAGACUGGAGUGUGGUGAAUUCUAAGGCAAUUUUUAACCAAACCAAGUGAGAUAUUUAGUAAUUUCCUAGAGUUCAAGGUACCACUUCUCGAUGCUAAGGGCCCUCUCUCCCCAGCAAGUCUUGUAAAUUUUUGGCCUUAUUAGGAAUCAAGUCACAACAAUACCCUCCAGUUUCCUCAGUUUAAUGCCUGGUAAUCACAGCCUUACCAAUACCUUUAUGUUCCAUUCUGAAAUUUAAAGAACAUGUUUUCCACACUGAAAGUCACGCAGUUUGCAUAUCAAGCCACUACCAUUUUCCAAAACAGAAGAGGACAGAAAUCAAACCAACAAGUUUUAUGAAACAAAGAGAUUUUUUAAAAAAAGCAGACAGGGGCUCCUGGGUGGCUUAGUCAGUUAAGCAUCUGACUUUGGCUCAGGUCAUGAUCUCAUGGUUCGUGGGUUCAAGCCCUGGCAUCGGGCUCUGUGCCAACAGUUCAGAGCCUGGAGCCCCUCCUCUGCUCGUACUCUGUCUCUGUCCCUCAAAAAAUAAAUACAUGUUUAAAAAACAAUGGGGAAAAAAAAGCAGACAAAAGACCAGAACCCGAUGAUGUGUUUGAUGAGAAAGACAGUGGUGGGAAAAAAGUACUUUCUGGCUAUGAGUUCAGUGACCGGGCUACAAAGGAGGAAAAUGGAGUCAGAAAAGAAGGAAACAUGGAGAUGAUUCUAUUCCUAAACAGAGUGGAUUCAGAAGAAUCACUGAUGUUUUCUGUCCUCACUUAUUCUAUCAGGGUUACAUCAGAUGACAGACAAGGUAAUGAUCCUAGACAGUGGGAUUUAUCUAACAUGACCAAAGUUUUAAUGAAUGUAUAAUACCCAGGGGAAGCAUGGUGCAGUUGAAAAGGCACUGGGUCUUUGGGGUCAGUCUGACUUUAAAUUUGAAUCACCACUUAGAAGCUGUGAAACGUGAGGCAAGUGGCUUAACCUCUCUGGGCGUGUGCGUUCUCAGAUCUAAAGUAGGAUAAAUACAAUGCACUGCACAGAACUGCUUUGAAGCUGAAAUGAGAAGUGCCUAUCACAGUGCCUGACUCAAAACUAGUGAGUUCGUUAUCUCCCUCUUUCCUGUUCAUGUCCUGAGCUAAAAUAGCAGGAAGCCCUGACGGGUUAUUCUUUCCUCAAGAAAGGAAGGACAUAAUUUAUAAUUGUAUAACUUAAUGAAAAUAUCACGUAAAUAACUUCUUUACUGCAGCUUCCACAUUUGUAAGUUUAAUGUGUGAAACCUUUUUUUUUUUUUUGCUUCUAACAUUUAUCUGUUAUACACAUAUUUAAUCAGCACCUACUAUGUCCUACUCCUUGUUCUAGGCAAAAGGGAUACAGUAGAGAACAAAACCGGUCAGGUCCCUGUCCUCCUGAAAGUUAUACUCUGGUAGAUGUGUACCAGAACAGUUAUAGAAAUAAUGUUCUAGAGAGCCCAGUCAUUUCUCUGACAUCAGCCGUAACAACAUUUUUCUAGAUACGUCUCCGGAGGCAAGGGACACAAAAGCAAAAAUACACUACUGGGACGACAUCAAAAUGAAAAGCUUUUGCACAGUAAAGGAAACAGUCAACAAGACUAAAAGACAACCCACUGAAUGGCAGAAGAUAUUUGUCAAUGACAUAUCCAAUAAAGGGUUAGUAUCCAAAAAGGAACUUACACACCUCAACACCCAACAAACAAAUAAUCCAAUUAAAAAUGGACAGAACCCAUGAACAGACAUGUCUCCAAAGAAGACAUACAAAUGGCCAACAGACACAUGAAAAACGCUCAACACCACUCAUCUU